UUAUUGAUUUACAUAUUUGAACCAUCCCUGUACAUUAACAUGAAGCCAAGUGAUCAUGGUACCUGUGUCUACUCAAUAAACCUCUUGCGAUUUGCAUCCGUGCGGUCUCGGCCUGUUCCUUGGUGUUGGGGAAAAGAGGUCCUCACCGAGGGUCUUUCAUUUGGUGCGUUGGCCGGGAAAUUGAGACCCCCCACCCAGGGAUCACCGACUCACCAACGGGAGUUACCCACCAGCCCACUUGGGAUGAUUGCCAGCAACUCUUGCAAGCCCUGCUGACCUUGGAGGAAAAGCAAAGAGUCUUUUUGGAGGCUCGGAAAAACGUCCCAGGUGACAACGGGAGCCCAACCCUUUUGCCUAACGAAAUUGACGAGGCCUUCCCUCUGACGCGACCUGACUGGGAUUUCACUACAG
Microtus oregoni (creeping vole) is the source of this 411-nucleotide long non-coding RNA. RefSeq lists it as uncharacterized. The record is from RefSeq and is a predicted model, not a curated record. The transcript has 3 exons. NCBI's taxonomy places the organism in Eukaryota, Metazoa, Chordata, Mammalia, Rodentia, Cricetidae.